This 519-nucleotide ribosomal RNA is filed under the name uncultured eukaryote. RNAcentral's name for it is "SSU rRNA". It matches the Rfam family "Eukaryotic small subunit ribosomal RNA", at positions 1161 to 1701 of the family's 1831-position model. The record is from RNAcentral.
AGGGCACCACCAGGAGUGGAGCCUGCGGCUUAAUUUGACUCAACAGGGGAAAACUCACCCGGCCCGGACACCGUAAGGAUUGACAGACUGAGAGCUCUUUCUUAAUUCGGUGGGUGGUGGUGCAUGGCCGUUCUUAGUUGGUGGAGCGGUUUGUCUGGUUAAUUCCGAUAACGAACGAGACUCUGGCCUAUUAAAUAGUCGGUAUAUCCAGAAAAGUUUACCGUACUUCUUAGAGGGACAAACGGCGUCUAGCCGCGUGAAAUAGAGCAAUAACAGGUCUGUGAUGCCCUUAGAUGUCCGGGGCUGCACGCGCGCUACACUGAAAGAAUCAGUAUGCGCUUUAACCUAGUCCGGAAGGAUUGGGUAACCCGAGCAAAUUCUUUCGUGCUUGGGAUAGGGAAUUGCAAUUAUUUCCCUUAAACGAGGAAUUCCCAGUAAAUGCGGGUCAUAAGCUCGCGUUGAUUACGUCCCUGCCCUUUGUACACACCGCCCGUCGCUACUACCGAUUGGAUGACUUAG